GACGAACGCUGGCGGCGUGGAUUAGGCAUGCAAGUCGAACGGUAUCAUCCUUUCGGGGGUGAGAGAGUGGCGAACUGGUGAGUAACACGUAGGUUAUCUACCCUCAAGACGGGGACAACCCAGGGAAACUUGGGCUAAUACCGGAUGUGAGCAACUUUUAGUUGUUUGAAAGGUGGCGUAAGCUGUCGCUUGGGGAUGAGCCUGCGUCCUAUUAGUUAGUUGGUGAGGUAACGGCUCACCUAGGCAAUGAUAGGUAGGCGGCCUUAACGGGUGGUCGCCCACACUGGGAUUGAGAUACGGCCCAGACUCCUACGGGAGGCAGCAGUCGAGAAUAGUCUACAAUGGCCGAAAGGCUGAUAGUGCGACGCCGCGUGAACGAAGAAGCCCUUCGGGGUGUAAAGUUCUUUUAUAUGUGAGCAGUGCUUUCUAUGUGAACAGCAUGGGGAGAGAGAUAUUAGCAUAUGAAUAAGCAACGGCUAACUCCGUGCCAGCAGCCGCGGUAAA
This 504-nucleotide ribosomal RNA is filed under the name uncultured bacterium. RNAcentral describes it as "bacterial SSU rRNA". It matches the Rfam family "Bacterial small subunit ribosomal RNA", at positions 28 to 524 of the family's 1533-position model. The record is from RNAcentral.